Molecule: ribosomal RNA, 491 nt
Filed under: uncultured bacterium
Lineage: Bacteria
Description: partial 16S ribosomal RNA
Rfam family: Bacterial small subunit ribosomal RNA
Source: RNAcentral
AGUGAACGCUGGCGGUAGGCCUAACACAUGCAAGUCGAACGGCAGCACAGUAAGAGCUUGCUCUUACGGGUGGCGAGUGGCGGACGGGUGAGGAAUACAUCGGAAUCUACUUUUUCGUGGGGGAUAACGUAGGGAAACUUACGCUAAUACCGCAUACGACCUACGGGUGAAAGCAGGGGAUCUUCGGACCUUGCGCGAUUGAAUGAGCCGAUGUCGGAUUAGCUAGUUGGCGGGGUAAAGGCCCACCAAGGCGACGAUCCGUAGCUGGUCUGAGAGGAUGAUCAGCCACACUGGAACUGAGACACGGUCCAGACUCCUACGGGAGGCAGCAGUGGGGAAUAUUGGACAAUGGGCGCAGGCCUGAUCCAGCCAUACCGCGUGGGUGAAGAAGGCCUUCGGGUUGUAAGCCCUUUUGUUGGGAAAGAAAAGCAGCAGGUUAAUACCCCGCUGUUCUGACGGUACCCAAAGAAUAAGCACCGGCUAACUUCGUG